RNAcentral lists this ribosomal RNA (430 nucleotides) under bacterium. RNAcentral's name for it is "partial 16S ribosomal RNA". It matches the Rfam family "Bacterial small subunit ribosomal RNA", at positions 355 to 776 of the family's 1533-position model. The record is from RNAcentral.
UGGGGAAUAUUGGACAAUGGGCGGAAGCCUGAUCCAGCCAUGCCGCGUGUGUGAAGAAGGCCUUUUGGUUGUAAAGCACUUUAAGCGAGGAGGAGGCUACUUGGAUUAAUACUCUAGGAUAGUGGACGUUACUUGCAGAAUAAGCACCGGCUAACUCUGUGCCAGCAGCCGCGGUAAUACAGAGGGUGCGAGCGUUAAUCGGAUUUACUGGGCGUAAAGCGUGCGUAGGCGGCUUCUUAAGUCGGAUGUGAAAUCCCUGAGCUUAACUUAGGAAUUGCAUUCGAUACUGGGAAGCUAGAGUAUGGGAGAGGAUGGUAGAAUUCCAGGUGUAGCGGUGAAAUGCGUAGAGAUCUGGAGGAAUACCGAUGGCGAAGGCAGCCAUCUGGCCUAAUACUGACGCUGAGGUACGAAAGCAUGGGGAGCAAACAGG